AUGCCUGUGGGUCCGAGAUGCAUGUUGCAUGUGCCCUGGGAACUGCAGCCAAGUCUUGACUUUGGUCCCUUGUCUGUGCUUUUCCUGCAGGAGCCUGAACUGAGUCCACACACUGAACUCACAGACCUGCAGGGGGAGAUGGAAGAAAGAAAAUCAACAGGUUUUGAGGAUGAGAAGAACCCAAGUAAUGGCAGAGGAGGUGCUUUGCAAGAGAGAUUGCUGCAGUGGCAUCCAGGACUGUCAGUGGAAGUGGGGAAUGACAUGACACCACCUUUCGGACACCCAACUGGCAAGAGGCCACGCAGUCCAAGAAUUGGUCGCAGACUUGAAGAAACUCUUCCAGAACAAGAUACAUAAAUGGGCCACAAGAACAUAAAAAGAUAAUCAACUCAGUGUCAGUGAUCAGAGAAACAAAUUAAAACUACAGUGAGUUCCGAUUAUAUAUUCAUUACCAUGGUUAAAUUUAAAGAGAUUGAAAAUACCACAUGUGGUAAAGGUGUAAAGCCACCAGAUGUUUCUUACACUUGGGGGAAUGAGUAGUCAUUCAGGCACUUUGAAAAGCUGAAUGACAGUUGAGCACACACCCAUCAUGUGAGCAGCCUUUCCAUUCCUAGGUGUUUACAGAGUAUGUCCCCAUAACAACCUGCACAUGAAUAUCCAUAGUGAGUUUCUUCAAAAGAACUGAACUCUGGAAACUACAGGGACAUCCAUUAGUUGGUGAAUGUAUGAACUGACACAAAGUAUCGAUAUAAAGGAAUAGUGCUUAGCAAAAAAAUGUGCAAGCGCUGCUGUUGCUUGUAAGAUGGUGGAGAUUCUCUGAAUCAAGCUGCAUGGAGGCAGGCAGACAGGAAAGAGUCCAUGCGUAGUUCCAUUUAUAAGGGUGCUAAAGAUGCAAAUUCAUCUCUAAUGGCAGUGGUUGCCUGGGGCUGAGGGUUGAGGGAGUGAAGGAAAGCAAAGGGGUCCAAAGGUUGUGAGGACAUGGACACACCGUGUAUCAGAUGGUAGCUGUAGUUUUCAUAGUGUAACCAGCUAUCAAAGUGCACUUGAUUGUAUACUCUAAAGUGACAUAGUGUGUUGUGUCUGAAUUAUACCUCAAGAGAAUUCAUAUAACAGUGUAUUGUAUUCCUCCAGAAUAUAGGAAUGUUCACUAAAUAGCAGUGAAUAUUUAGCAAAUGAAAUUCAAUAGAACACACUGGAGAUUCCCAUCCUUAAUCAUUAAACAUUUAAGAACAUAUGCACUGAAGACUCCUGAAAACUCUUGCCGAGGACAUUAAAGAGCUAAAUAGGAGGUCCUGCCAUGGCCCAGUGUGUUAAGACUCUGACCGCAGUGGCCAGGUUGCUGCGGAGCUUCAGGGUCAAUGCCAGCCUGGCUGCAGUGGGUUAAAGGAUCUGGCACUGGCACAGCUGCACCUUGAAGUCAAUCCCUGGCCCACAAACAGCCCUAUGGCAUGGGUGUGGCCAUUAAAUUUAAGAAGACCUAAAUAAAUAUAUAUAAUAUACAUAUCA
RNAcentral lists this long non-coding RNA (1506 nucleotides) under Sus scrofa (pig). RNAcentral describes it as "lncRNA (ENSSSCG00070008084.1)". Lineage: Eukaryota; Metazoa; Chordata; Mammalia; Artiodactyla; Suidae. The record is from RNAcentral.